Molecule: ribosomal RNA, 304 nt
Filed under: uncultured Smithella sp.
Lineage: Bacteria; Pseudomonadati; Thermodesulfobacteriota; Syntrophia; Syntrophales; Smithellaceae
Description: bacterial SSU rRNA
Rfam family: Bacterial small subunit ribosomal RNA
Source: RNAcentral
GGUAAGUCCCCGCAACGAGCGCAACCCCUAUCUCUAGUUGCCAGCGAUUCGGUCGGGGACUCUAGAGAUACUGCCCCGGUUAACGGGGAGGAAGGUGGGGAUGACGUCAAGUCCUCAUGGCCCUUAUGCCCAGGGCUACACACGUGCUACAAUGGGCGGUACAAAGGGUUGCCAAGCCGCGAGGUGGAGCUAAUCCCAUAAAACCGAUCGUAGUCCGGAUCGCAGUCUGCAACUCGACUGCGUGAAGUCGGAAUCGCUAGUAAUCGUGAAUCAGAAUGUCACGGUGAAUACGUUCCCGGGCCCU